CGCGAAUGGCUCAUUAUAACAGCUAUAAUUUACUUGAUCUUGACACAAUCCUACUUGGAUAACUGUGGUAAUUCUAGAGCUAAUACAUGCAUUAAAGCUCUGACCUCACGAGAAGAGUGCAUUUAUUAGAACAAAACCAAGCGGCUUCGGCUGUUUCUGGUUGACUCAUAGUAACUGAGCUGAUCGCAUGGUCUUGCACCGGCGACGUGUCUUUCAAGUAUCUGCCGUAUCAACUUUCGAUGGAAGUGUAUCUGACUACCAUGGUGAUCACGCGUAACGGAGAAUAAGGGUUCGACUCCGGAGAGUUCGCCUGAGAAAUCGCGAACACAUCUAAGGAAGGCAGCAGGCGCGAAAAUUACCCACUCUCAGCACGAGGAGGUAGUGACGAAAAAUAACGAGACCGUUCUCUUUUGAGGCCGGUCAUCGGAAUGGGACAAUUUAAACCCUUUAACGAGUAUCUAUGAGAGGGCAAGUCUGGUGCCAGCAGCCGCGGUAAUUCCAGCU
This 504-nucleotide ribosomal RNA is filed under the name Cephalobus persegnis. RNAcentral's name for it is "SSU rRNA". It matches the Rfam family "Eukaryotic small subunit ribosomal RNA", at positions 88 to 590 of the family's 1831-position model. The record is from RNAcentral. Lineage: Eukaryota; Metazoa; Nematoda; Chromadorea; Rhabditida; Cephalobidae.